RNAcentral lists this ribosomal RNA (516 nucleotides) under Aspergillus sp. EFL7. Its description in RNAcentral is "eukaryotic LSU rRNA". The stretch from base 156 to 309 matches the Rfam family "5.8S ribosomal RNA". The record is from RNAcentral. Lineage: Eukaryota; Fungi; Ascomycota; Eurotiomycetes; Eurotiales; Aspergillaceae.
CACCCGUGUCUAUCGUACCUUGUUGCUUCGGCGGGCCCGCCGUUUCGACGGCCGCCGGGGAGGCCUUGCGCCCCCGGGCCCGCGCCCGCCGAAGACCCCAACAUGAACGCUGUUCUGAAAGUAUGCAGUCUGAGUUGAUUAUCGUAAUCAGUUAAAACUUUCAACAACGGAUCUCUUGGUUCCGGCAUCGAUGAAGAACGCAGCGAAAUGCGAUAAGUAAUGUGAAUUGCAGAAUUCAGUGAAUCAUCGAGUCUUUGAACGCACAUUGCGCCCCCUGGUAUUCCGGGGGGCAUGCCUGUCCGAGCGUCAUUGCUGCCCUCAAGCACGGCUUGUGUGUUGGGCCCCCGUCCCCCUCUCCCGGGGGACGGGCCCGAAAGGCAGCGGCGGCACCGCGUCCGGUCCUCGAGCGUAUGGGGCUUUGUCACCUGCUCUGUAGGCCCGGCCGGCGCCAGCCGACACCCAACUUUAUUUUUCUAAGGUUGACCUCGGAUCAGGUAGGGAUACCCGCUGAACUUA